Molecule: ribosomal RNA, 253 nt
Filed under: uncultured bacterium
Lineage: Bacteria
Description: partial 16S ribosomal RNA
Rfam family: Bacterial small subunit ribosomal RNA
Source: RNAcentral
UACGUAGGGUGCGAGCGUUAAUCGGAAUUACUGGGCGUAAAGCGUGCGCAGGCGGUUCGUUGUGUCGGCGGUGAAAGCCCCGGGCUCAACCUGGGAAUGGCCGUUGAAACUGGCGAACUGGAGUGUGGCAGAGGGGGGUGGAAUUCCGCGUGUAGCAGUGAAAUGCGUAGAGAUGCGGAGGAACACCGAUGGCGGAGGCAGCCCCCUGGGCUAACACUGACGCUCAGGCACGAAAGCGUGGGGAGCAAACAGG